AUUGAACGCUGGCGGCAGGCCUAACACAUGCAAGUCGAGCGGAGCGGCGGACGGUUGCGUAAUGCCUAGGAAUCUGCCUGGUAUUGUGGGAUCACGUCCGGAAACGGGCGCUAAUACCGCAUCCUAUCCGAUGAGCCUAGGUCGGAUUAGCUAGUUGGUGGGGUAAAUGCCUACCAAGGGGACGAUCCGUAACUGGUCUGAGAGGAUGAUCAGGCACAAAGGAACUGAGACACGGUCCAGACUCCUACGGGAGGCAGAAGUGGGGAAUAGUGGACAAUGGGCGAAAGCCUGAUCCAGCCAAGCCGCGUGUGUGAAGAAGGGCUUCGGAUUGUAAAGCACUUUAAGUUGGGAGGCGUUACCAACAGAAUAAGCAACGGCUAACUUCGUGCCAGCAGCAGCGGUAAUUC
Molecule: ribosomal RNA, 407 nt
Filed under: uncultured bacterium
Lineage: Bacteria
Description: partial 16S ribosomal RNA
Rfam family: Bacterial small subunit ribosomal RNA
Source: RNAcentral